CGUCUGGAAAGGCGCGCGAUACAGGGUGACAGCCCCGUACACAAAAGCGCAUGUGCUGUGAGCUCGAUGAGUAGGGCGGGACACGUGGUAUCCUGUCUGAAUAUGGGGGGACCAUCCUCCAAGGCUAAAUACUCCUGACUGACCGAUAGUGAACCAGUACCGUGAGGGAAAGGCGAAAAGAACCCCGGCGAGGGGAGUGAAAAAGAACCUGAAACCGUGUACGUACAAGCAGUGGGAGCACCCUUCGGGGUGUGACUGCGUACCUUUUGUAUAAUGGGUCAGCGACUUAUAUUCUGUAGCAAGGUUAACCGUAUAGGGGAGCCGGAGGGAAACCGAGUCUUAACCGGGCGUUAAGUUGCAGGGUAUAGACCCGAAACCCGGUGAUCUAGCCAUGGGCAGGUUGAAGGUUGGGUAACACUAACUGGAGGACCGAACCGACUAAUGUUGAAAAAUUAGCGGAUGACCUGUGGCUGGGGGUGAAAGGCCAAUCAAACCGGGAGAUAGCUGGUUCUCCCCGAAAGCUAUUUAGGUAGCGCCUCGUGAAUUCAUCUCCGGGGGUAGAGCACUGUUUCGGCUAGGGGGCCAUCCCGGCUUACCAACCCGAUGCAAACUGCGAAUACCGGAGAAUGUUAUCACGGGAGACACACGGCGGGUGCUAAAGUCUGACGUGCAGAGGGAAACAACACAGACCGCGAGCAAAGGUCCCAAAGUCAUGGAAAAGCGGGAAAUGAUGGGGGAAGGCCAAGAAAGCCAGGAUGUUGGCUUAGAAGCAGCCAUCAGUUAAAGAAAGCGUAAUAGCGCACUGGUAGAGUCGGCCUGCGCGGAGGAGGUAACGGGGCUAAACCAGGCAGCGAAGCGGCGGAAGCGAACGUAACAGCCAAGACAAC
This 887-nucleotide ribosomal RNA is filed under the name Leptospira interrogans serovar Pomona. Its description in RNAcentral is "partial 23S ribosomal RNA". It matches the Rfam family "Bacterial large subunit ribosomal RNA", at positions 339 to 1220 of the family's 2925-position model. Lineage: Bacteria; Pseudomonadati; Spirochaetota; Leptospiria; Leptospirales; Leptospiraceae. The record is from RNAcentral.